Zootermopsis nevadensis is the source of this 981-nucleotide long non-coding RNA. RefSeq lists it as uncharacterized. NCBI's taxonomy places the organism in Eukaryota, Metazoa, Arthropoda, Insecta, Blattodea, Termopsidae. The record is from RefSeq and is a predicted model, not a curated record.
GUCCGAUCUUGUGCGAAUUAAUAGGGAAGAAAAAAUAUUUGGACACAUUUUUUUAUGGUCUUCAGUGACACUGUCUAUACACAGACAAUACCAACAUAACGGCAUGGCAGUGUGAAAGAUUAAUUUUAUAUAAGUGUUCUGCUGUAUUGAAAAUGUCAUUGUGAGCGUACCAGUGGAAAUUACGCACCUUCACUGAAUUAUAGGGAUGAAACACACUGUAUCCAGGGAAUGUUCGAUUUUAUCAAACGCAAAUCUUUUUGUUAAACAGAAAAUAAUUCAGUUUAAUAUUAAUUUAUUUCCUUAAAACUCACCUAGUGUUUUCAGUCACGAACUAUUGUAGUAGCAAGUUCCGCCGGUUAUAGUCAUAAGUCGUGACUAAUAUGACAAUCGUCCGAAAAAUUCAAUCAUGUGACUAUAAAAGGGAGAUAAAAACUCAUCUACUACAUGACGAAUACAAAUUCACAAAGCCAGUUAACAAAACUUAUUGUGUAAACUUCAAGGUUAUGUCGAAAUGCAAUGACUGCAUUGUGUCAAAUAGAACGCACAAUACUUGGAAGUACAAUAAACGAAAACUGUCAAAAUACAUUAAAAUGGGACCAUCUCUAUCCCCACUGUCAGGAUACCUUGAUGAGGCAGUAAGUACACCUGAAACAUUAAAAACAGUGCAAGAACCCAAAAGAGAGCCAUCUUAAAAUCUAAUUUUGAUGUGUCUGGGUGCAGCUGGUCGGUAAAUCGAAGAAAACCCUACUUAGAAGAAGUAAGAUAAUGUAGCUGGGACGACAGCGUGAACACUAAGCAUGCAUGCUCUGGAUGAGACCAUACCUGUCAGCAGGUGGGGGAUGAUGUAACUCUUUUUUCCUUGGCAAAGGUUCAACCUACACAAUGCAAUAUAAUUGUUUCCAUGUUGUUAAAGAUUAUACUCGUGUCAUAAACUUCACUACAGAACAAAAUGAGUGAACAUUAUUAAAUAUUUCAAACAGA